CGCUCCAUAUUAUUACUUUUUUCAAUGAAAAGGUUGUCUCAUCUGAAUAAGGAGUGAAAUAUGCACGGAUCAAGCACUGUUUACAAG
Sinocyclocheilus grahami is the source of this 87-nucleotide long non-coding RNA. RefSeq lists it as uncharacterized. The record is from RefSeq and is a predicted model, not a curated record. NCBI's taxonomy places the organism in Eukaryota, Metazoa, Chordata, Actinopteri, Cypriniformes, Cyprinidae. The transcript is spliced from 3 exons.